GAUGAACGCUGGCGGCGUGCCUAAUACAUGCAAGUCGAGCGAACAGACGAGGAGCUUGCUCCUCUGACGUUAGCGGCGGACGGGUGAGUAACACGUGGAUAACCUACCUAUAAGACUGGGAUAACUUCGGGAAACCGGAGCUAAUACCGGAUAAUAUAUUGAACCGCAUUGUUCAAUAGUGAAAGACGGUUUUGCUGUCACUUAUAGAUGGAUCCGCGCCGCAUUAGCUAGUUGGUAAGGUAACGGCUUACCAAGGCAACGAUGCGUAGCCUACCUGAGAGAGUGGUCCGCCACACUGGAACUGAGACAAGGACCAGACUCCUACGAGAGGCAGCAGUAGGGAAUCUUCCGCAAUGGGCGAAAGCCUGACGGAGCAACGCCGCGUGAGAGAUGCAGGUCUUCGGAUCGUAAAACUCUGUUAUUAGGGAAGAACAAAUGUGUAAGUAACUAUGCACGUCUUGACGGUACCUAAUCAGAAAGCCACGGCUAACUACGUG
RNAcentral lists this ribosomal RNA (497 nucleotides) under uncultured bacterium. RNAcentral's name for it is "partial 16S ribosomal RNA". It matches the Rfam family "Bacterial small subunit ribosomal RNA", at positions 28 to 507 of the family's 1533-position model. The record is from RNAcentral.